RNAcentral lists this transfer RNA (77 nucleotides) under Gammaproteobacteria bacterium. Its description in RNAcentral is "tRNA-Met". It matches the Rfam family "tRNA". From Rfam's summary of the family: Transfer RNA (tRNA) molecules are approximately 80 nucleotides in length. Their secondary structure includes four short double-helical elements and three loops (D, anti-codon, and T loops). Further hydrogen bonds mediate the characteristic L-shaped molecular structure. tRNAs have two regions of fundamental functional importance: the anti-codon, which is responsible for specific mRNA codon recognition, and the 3' end, to which the tRNAs corresponding amino acid is attached (by aminoacyl-tRNA synthetases). tRNAs cope with the degeneracy of the genetic code in two manners: having more than one tRNA (with a specific anti-codon) for a particular amino acid; and 'wobble' base-pairing, i.e. permitting non-standard base-pairing at the 3rd anti-codon position. Lineage: Bacteria; Pseudomonadati; Pseudomonadota; Gammaproteobacteria. The record is from RNAcentral. RNAcentral also lists the same sequence under 3 other names.
GGUGAUGUAGCUCAGUUGGUCAGAGCGGCGGACUCAUAACCCGCAGGUCGGUGGUUCAAUUCCACCCAUCACCACCA